UGAAGAUUAGUGAUCUGUCUCUAUCAAAAACAUUUUGGAUGUUAAUGAAGCUACCGGUCUGGCAAUUUUGAAAACCUUUUUUCCCCGAGAAAAUAUAGUGAUUUGCAAUCCAAUUGGGAAAAGAAAUAUUGUUUACAAAAGUGAUGCGGUAUGGUACAAAUUUUUUGAGUCAACGUAUCCGCUUUCAUAUUUAUCCUACGAGAAAUAAGAGAUAAAAAGAGCCAUCGAUUUUUUUUUUCUUUUUGGAGAAUAAGUAGAAAAAGCUGACCACAGGGUUGGAGAAGACAUACCACGAGAAAUAUGAUAUAAUAUGAGAAAGAUGAAAAUCAUUCCCUAUCGAUUUUUAAUUUUUCGAGAUAAAUAGAAAUUUUCUGAGUCUAGCUUGAUUUCAACGUACUUUAAUUUAACACCUAAAAUUUUUUAAAAUAAAAACAUUUUUGUUAAACUUCACAACUUUACUUAAAAUAUUAAUUAUAAAAAACCUUAAAACCUAAGUGUUAAAUUUACAAUACGUGAAAACAUGUUGAACUUAUACACCACUGACGGACCACAAAAGGACUGGAUGCUCGGACCGGUUUGUUUUCAACGUAUUUAAUUUUAACACUUAGAUUUUAACCCGAAAAAGAAUAUUUUUAUAUAUUAAAAAUUAAACUUUACUUGAAAUCUGAUUUUAAAAACUCUUGAGUUUUAGUCUAAAUCAGAAAAAAUAGAAAUGGAAAACAUAAAAUCUUUUUUUAAUGUAUAUUUUAUUUUAAUAUCUAAAUCAGUUUUUUUUUUUAAUUUUAAAAAUUUAGAUCAGUUGUUCUUAAUUUAUUUUUAUUUUUAAAAAGUUAGAUGAAUUGUUCCUAAUUUUUUUUUAAUUAAAAAAGUUAGAUGAAUUGUUCUUGAUUUAUUUUUAAUUUUAAACGUUAGAUCAAUUGUUCUUAAUUUAUUUUUAGUUUUUAAAAGUUAGAAAAGUUAAAAUAU
This 966-nucleotide long non-coding RNA is filed under the name Capsella rubella. RNAcentral describes it as "long non-coding RNA (CRUB_LNC002332)". The record is from RNAcentral. Lineage: Eukaryota; Viridiplantae; Streptophyta; Magnoliopsida; Brassicales; Brassicaceae.